Molecule: non-coding RNA, 1248 nt
Organism: Lolium perenne
Lineage: Eukaryota; Viridiplantae; Streptophyta; Magnoliopsida; Poales; Poaceae
Source: RefSeq, a predicted model, not a curated record
AGCGGGGGCGGCCGUGAGCGGCCGCGGCGUGCUCCGGCUCAGGGAAGGGGAGGCCGGCGCGAGCUCGGGAAGGGCGGGCGUGGGCGGGCUUGGUUGGGCGCGGCGAGCUCCGGCUCCGUCUCAUGGGGCAGGUGGAGGAGCACGACGCCGGGGCUCCAGCUCGUGGAGAAGAGCCGGUAGACAGAGGACGGCGAGCGACGACCGCGGAGGUACGUGUGGCGUCAGGACAAGCAAGCGAGGGAUGACCAAGUCAGAUCCACCUUCAGAGGCAGCAGCAACGCAUGUUUGCCAUUAUCAACCUGUAGAUUUGGUACUAUAUUAGUUUGAAGAUUGUGUCGGAUCCACAAGAGAGGCAAAAUAUGGAGUGGAAACUACAGUCCAGACACUGCAGGCUUUGAAAGAUUUGGAUGGAGCACAGGUCGGGAUGCUCCCGUUCAUCUUUGAUUUGGUGUGCUUUGGGUUGAAUCUGGGUUGUUUUUAUGGAUACGAUUGUGGAUGCGCUUCGCCGUCAUUGUCACCGAGGCUGCAAGACAUCAUGCUGGUGGACAUGGUGGUGGCGCUUGACCUGGUAGAGUGGUUUUCAUGAUGUAUUCUUUCUGGGAAGAAACACAAGGGAUAAAUCUGAAAUUGUGGAAUCAAAGAAUGCUUAUAAGAAGAUAAAUCAAAUUACAUGGAGAAUUUGCCCGGCCUGCUCAUCUCUAGGCACAACAAGGCGUUCGGUGAACCUGCAACAACACAACACAAUGGGAGGUAGGCACUGCACCCGUCCUCUUCAAGAAAUCACUCAAUUCUAUUGCCAGUCAUUCUCCUUGGGAUUGUGAAGGAACGAAGAAAGUAUGGUGCAUCUCAGCAGGAGAUGUUGGUUGAUCAAUCUUCAUGUCUUUGUGUGCUCAAUGAGAGCAUGACAAUAAAUUUUAGAAAUUGUACUGUUUGCAUCAUUCCAGGAGUCACAGUUAGCUGUCCAAUUUGCACCAUUCAUGAUCUUCUUAAGUAUGACUAAUACAUAUUAACGAUUUAUCACUUUGAUCCGACCCACAUGUCAUAGGCAGAGGCCAAGUUUUGUUAACUUUUGGGGGCAUCUCAGGUCAGGUUUUCCUGAUGUACCAUUGCUAGAUACAUCUAGCAUCCUGUAAAUUUUUAUGGUUUAUGCAAUGGAUCCAUUCUUUACCUAAAAGGCAUGCGCUGUUCUGUUAGUUACGCUUCCCACUUAGUGUUUGGAGAAUGUUCCAUCCUUUAACCAGUGCUAUC